This 487-nucleotide ribosomal RNA is filed under the name uncultured bacterium. Its description in RNAcentral is "bacterial SSU rRNA". It matches the Rfam family "Bacterial small subunit ribosomal RNA", at positions 579 to 1208 of the family's 1533-position model. The record is from RNAcentral.
UUUGUUGGGUCUAGAUAAAAUCCUCGGGCUCAACCUGAGAAAGAUCUUUUAGACCAAUUGACUAGAGUUUAGUUGAGUAAGAUGGUACACUCAAUGUAGAGGUGAAAUUCGCAAAAAUUGUGGGACCACCGACCGGCGAAGGCGAUCUUACAACUAUGAACUGACGCUAAGGUGACAAAAGCGUAGGGAGCAAGCGAGAUUAGAGACCUCGUUAGUCUACGCCCUGACCGAUGAGUAUUAAAUGUAUAAUUUUUAAUAAUGUUUUACAUUUUAGCUAACGCGUAAAUACUCCGCCUAGGAAUUACAACCGCAAGGUUCAAACUUAAAGGAAUUGACGGAGGGUUAUCACAGCGGUGGAGCAUGUGGUUUAAUCUGAUAUACCGCAUAGAAUCUUACCAGUUUUCGGAUCGCAAAUUUUUGACUUCAAUGAAAAUUGUUAGAAUUGGUUCUAUUUUUUAUGGAAAAAUUAUAGUAGAAUUUGUACAGG